This 251-nucleotide ribosomal RNA is filed under the name uncultured prokaryote. Its description in RNAcentral is "partial 16S ribosomal RNA". It matches the Rfam family "Bacterial small subunit ribosomal RNA", at positions 525 to 775 of the family's 1533-position model. The record is from RNAcentral.
ACGGAGGGUGCAAGCGUUAAUCGGAAUUACUGGGCGUAAAGCGCACGCAGGCGGUCUGUCAAGUCGGAUGUGAAAUCCCCGGGCUCAACCUGGGAACUGCAUUCGAAACUGGCAGGCUAGAGUCUUGCAGAGGGGGGUGGAAUUCCAGGUGUAGCGGUGAAAUGCGUAGAGAUGUGGAGGAAUACCGAUGGCGAAGGCAGCCCCCUGGGCCGAUACUGACGCUCAUGCGCGAAAGCGUGGGGAGCAAACAG